This 595-nucleotide ribosomal RNA is filed under the name Gymnocorymbus thayeri. Its description in RNAcentral is "partial 16S ribosomal RNA". It matches the Rfam family "Bacterial large subunit ribosomal RNA", at positions 1794 to 2604 of the family's 2925-position model. The record is from RNAcentral. Lineage: Eukaryota; Metazoa; Chordata; Actinopteri; Characiformes; Acestrorhamphidae.
CCCCUUUUUUUAAACAUCGCCUCCUGCAAAAAUCAACGUAUAAGAGGUCCUACCUGCCCAGUGACUAAGUUAAACGGCCGCGGUAUUUUGACCGUGCAAAGGUAGCGCAAUCACUUGUCUUUUAAAUAAAGACCUGUAUGAAUGGUGAAACGAGGGCUUAACUGUCUCCCUUUUCUAAUCAGUGAAAUUGAUCUACCCGUGCAGAAGCGGGUAUAAGUAUACAAGACGAGAAGACCCUAUGGAGCUUUAGACAUAAAGUCAUCUAUGUUAAAAACCCCUAAUAAAAGGAACAAAACAAAAUAGUAACUGGCCAAUGUCUUCGGUUGGGGCGACCACGGGGAAAAGCAAAUCCCCCACGUGGAAUGGGAAACCCUCCUAAAACCACGAGGUACACCUCUAAGUCACAGUAUUUCUGACCAAAGGAUCCGGCACUUAGCCGAUCAACGAACCAAGUUACCCUAGGGAUAACAGCGCAAUCCCCUUCGAGAGUCCUUAUCGACAAGGGGGUUUACGACCUCGAUGUUGGAUCAGGACAUCCUAAUGGUGCAGCCGCUAUUAAGGGUUCGUUUGUUCAACGAUUAAAGUCCUACGUGAU